Molecule: long non-coding RNA, 518 nt
Organism: Talpa occidentalis (Iberian mole)
Lineage: Eukaryota; Metazoa; Chordata; Mammalia; Eulipotyphla; Talpidae
Exons: 3
Source: RefSeq, a predicted model, not a curated record
GCUGCUGGUCCGUGGACUUACUUUGAGGGGUGAGGAUAAGGAUGACUGACAUUCGGGAACAAAAUCCCUUCAAUGAGCUCAGAAACCUUAGGACCUGAACAGCAGUGUUACUGCCAUCUCACAGAAAUAUUAAUAGAAGCUGAGAUUUGAGGGCCAGUGCCACCUUAUAUGCAACUGACUCCAGACCUGUGCUGAGUUCCAAGCUGAGCCACACAGCAACGUGAAGAAGCUAGAACUGUUAACUCAUCUUGACAGGAACUGAAAAACUCAAAGAAGAAAAUGAAACAAGAAGCUCCUAGCAAACCCUGUAAAUGGAAACCUGUGUAGAAGCUCCUGGAAAACCAAUAUUCCAGUUCUAAUGACAUCCAGAUCUGAGAGGGAAAGGGGUUCAGGCCCAACAGAUGGGGGGCAGAGUCUUUACAGUUUGUUCAACCCAGUAUGAAUGAUGGGCAUCGGAAAGGAACUUUGCGGACGCUGAAGUGAUAUAUGAAUAUGGGUUGCUGUCUUUAUUACUUAAA